GGGCCAAGCUUAUGGGAUGUUUGGAAUAAUAAUUCUCAUACAAUGUCGAUUGAAAUGGUUGCCUGUAUUACUAUUGAAGCAAUAUCCAUUUUAGAGAAGAUGCAUUCUAAAGGUUAUGUUCAUGGAGAUGUAAA
Dioscorea cayenensis subsp. rotundata (Guinea yam) is the source of this 134-nucleotide long non-coding RNA. RefSeq lists it as uncharacterized. The record is from RefSeq and is a predicted model, not a curated record. The transcript is spliced from 3 exons. Lineage: Eukaryota; Viridiplantae; Streptophyta; Magnoliopsida; Dioscoreales; Dioscoreaceae.